This 92-nucleotide non-coding RNA is filed under the name Tiarina fusus. The record is from RNAcentral. Lineage: Eukaryota; Ciliophora; Prostomatea; Prorodontida; Colepidae.
GAGGACUAACCCCUUGACUUUGCUAUCAGCGUCGAUCCCAUCUCUGUUGGCAAGGGCCCUAUUUCGACAACAGAACAAUAGGGUAUUUAUUC